This 495-nucleotide ribosomal RNA is filed under the name uncultured bacterium. RNAcentral's name for it is "partial 16S ribosomal RNA". It matches the Rfam family "Bacterial small subunit ribosomal RNA", at positions 28 to 507 of the family's 1533-position model. The record is from RNAcentral.
GACGAACGCUGGCGGCGUGCCUAAUACAUGCAAGUCGAACGCUGAAGGAGGAGCUUGCUUCUCUGGAUGAGUUGCGAACGGGUGAGUAACGCGUAGGUAACCUGCCUGGUAGCGGGGGAUAACUAUUGGAAACGAUAGCUAAUACCGCAUAAGAGUAGAUGUUGCAUGACAUUUGCUUAAAAGUUGCAAUUGCAUCACUACCAGAUGGACCUGCGUUGUAUUAGCUAGUUGGUGGGGUAACGGCUCACCAAGGCGACGAUACAUAGCCGUCCUGAGAGGGUGAUCGGCCACACUGGGACUGAGACACGGCCCAGACUCCUACGGGAGGCAGCAGUAGGGAAUCUUCGGCAAUGGACGGAAGUCUGACCGAGCAACGCCGCGUGAGUGAAGAAGGGUUUCGGAUCGUAAAGCUCUGUUGUAAGAGAAGAACGAGUGUGAGAGUGGAAAGUUCACACUGUGACGGUAUCUUACCAGAAAGGGACGGCUAACUACGUG